This 253-nucleotide ribosomal RNA is filed under the name uncultured bacterium. RNAcentral's name for it is "partial 16S ribosomal RNA". It matches the Rfam family "Bacterial small subunit ribosomal RNA", at positions 524 to 776 of the family's 1533-position model. The record is from RNAcentral.
UACGUAGGGCGCAAGCGUUGUCCGGAAUUAUUGGGCGUAAAGAGCUCGUAGGCGGCUUGUCACGUCGGCUGUGAAAACCCGGGGCUCAACCCCGGGCCUGCAGUCGAUACGGGCAAGCUAGAGUUCGGUAGGGGAGACUGGAAUUCCCGGUGUAGCGGUGAAAUGCGCAGAUAUCGGGAGGAACACCGGUGGCGAAGGCGGGUCUCUGGGCCGAAACUGACGCUGAGGAGCGAAAGCGUGGGGAGCAAACAGG